This 206-nucleotide long non-coding RNA is filed under the name Mytilus galloprovincialis (Mediterranean mussel). The record is from RNAcentral. Lineage: Eukaryota; Metazoa; Mollusca; Bivalvia; Mytilida; Mytilidae.
UUUGUUUUUUUUUUUUCAUUUGUGUUUUGAGCUCUGUUCUGCAUAUUUUGACAAUUAUUCUCUAUGAUGUAAAUCCCAUCCAGACCCUCUUACUUGUGCAUUCAUAGGGGAAUGACUUUGUAAUAGGUUUUGUUUUAAACAAUAGUAUUAAUUAUAAAUGUUUCUUUAUUUGUAUAGAAAAUUACGUGAAAUUAUUAUUAUAUUGC